Molecule: ribosomal RNA, 483 nt
Filed under: uncultured bacterium
Lineage: Bacteria
Description: partial 16S ribosomal RNA
Rfam family: Bacterial small subunit ribosomal RNA
Source: RNAcentral
GACGAACGCUGGCGGCGUGCUUAACACAUGCGAGUCGAACGCUGAAGCUCAGCUUUUGUUGGGUGGAUGAGUGGCGAACGGGUGAGUAACACGUGAGUAACCUGCCCCCUUCUUUGGGAUAACGCCCGGAAACGGGUGCUAAUACUGGAUAUUCACUGGUCUUCGCAUGGGGGCUGGUGGAAAGGGUUUUUCUGGUGGGGGAUGGGCUCGCGGCCUAUCAGCUUGUUGGUGGGGUGAUGGCCUACCAAGGCUUGGACGGGUAGCCGGCCUGAGAGGGUGACCGGUCACAUUGGGACUGAGAUACGGCCCAGACUCCUACGGGAGGCAGCAGUGGGGAAUAUUGCACAAUGGGCGCAAGCCUGAUGCAGCGACGCCGCGUGAGGGAUGGAGGCCUUCGGGUUGUGAACCUCUUUCGCUCAUGGUCAAGCCGCAACAAUGGUUGUGGUGAGGGUAGUGGGUAAAGAAGCGCCGGCUAACUACGUG